RNAcentral lists this ribosomal RNA (661 nucleotides) under Vreelandella aquamarina. Its description in RNAcentral is "bacterial SSU rRNA". It matches the Rfam family "Bacterial small subunit ribosomal RNA", at positions 851 to 1513 of the family's 1533-position model. Lineage: Bacteria; Pseudomonadati; Pseudomonadota; Gammaproteobacteria; Oceanospirillales; Halomonadaceae. The record is from RNAcentral.
GUUAACGCGAUAAGUCGACCGCCUGGGGAGUACGGCCGCAAGGUUAAAACUCAAAUGAAUUGACGGGGGCCCGCACAAGCGGUGGAGCAUGUGGUUUAAUUCGAUGCAACGCGAAGAACCUUACCUACUCUUGACAUCCUGCGAAUUUGGUAGAGAUACCUUAGUGCCUUCGGGAACGCAGAGACAGGUGCUGCAUGGCUGUCGUCAGCUCGUGUUGUGAAAUGUUGGGUUAAGUCCCGUAACGAGCGCAACCCUUGUCCUUAUUUGCCAGCGCGUAAUGGCGGGAACUCUAAGGAGACUGCCGGUGACAAACCGGAGGAAGGUGGGGACGACGUCAAGUCAUCAUGGCCCUUACGAGUAGGGCUACACACGUGCUACAAUGGUCGGUACAAAGGGUUGCCAACUCGCGAGAGUGAGCCAAUCCCGAAAAGCCGAUCUCAGUCCGGAUCGGAGUCUGCAACUCGACUCCGUGAAGUCGGAAUCGCUAGUAAUCGUGGAUCAGAAUGCCACGGUGAAUACGUUCCCGGGCCUUGUACACACCGCCCGUCACACCAUGGGAGUGGACUGCACCAGAAGUGGUUAGCCUAACGCAAGAGGGCGAUCACCACGGUGUGGUUCAUGACUGGGGUGAAGUCGUAACAAGGUAGCCGUAGGGGAACCU